UGCCGCGUGAGUGAUGAAGGCCUUAGGGUCGUAAAGCUCUUUCGCCAGAGAUGAUAAUGACAGUAUCUGGUAAAGAAACCCCGGCUAACUCCGUGCCAGCAGCCGCGGUAAUACGGAGGGGGUUAGCGUUGUUCGGAAUUACUGGGCGUAAAGCGUACGUAGGCGGAUUAGUCAGUCAGAGGUGAAAUCCCAGGGCUCAACCCUGGAACUGCCUUUGAUACUGCUAGUCUUGAGUUCGAGAGAGGUGAGUGGAAUUCCAAGUGUAGAGGUGAAAUUCGUAGAUAUUCGGAGGAACACCAGUGGCGAAGGCGGCUUACUGGCUCGAUACUGACGCUGAGGUGCGAAAGUGUGGGGAGCAAACAGGAUUAGAUACCCUGGUAGUCCACACCGUAAACGAUGAAUGCCAGACGUCAGCAAGUAUACUUGUUGGUGUCACACCUAACGGAUUAAGCAUUCCGCCUGGGGAGUACGGUCGCAAGAUUAAAACUCAAAUGAAUUGACGGGGGCCCGCACAAGCGGUGGAGCAUGUGGUUUAAUUCGAUGCAACGCGAAGAACCUUACCUACUCUUGACAUACUAGAAACUUUUCAGAGAUGAAUUGGUGCCUUCGGGAAUCUAGAUACAGGUGCUGCAUGGCUGUCGUCAGCUCGUGUCGUGAGAUGUUGGGUUAAGUCCCGCAACGAGCGCAACCCUUGUCCUUAGUUGCCAGCCUUAAGUUGGGCACUCUAAGGAGACUGCCGGUGACAAACCGGAGGAAGGUGGGGACGACGUCA
RNAcentral lists this ribosomal RNA (772 nucleotides) under uncultured marine bacterium. Its description in RNAcentral is "bacterial SSU rRNA". It matches the Rfam family "Bacterial small subunit ribosomal RNA", at positions 395 to 1187 of the family's 1533-position model. The record is from RNAcentral.